This 239-nucleotide unclassified non-coding RNA is filed under the name Hevea brasiliensis (rubber tree). Lineage: Eukaryota; Viridiplantae; Streptophyta; Magnoliopsida; Malpighiales; Euphorbiaceae. The record is from RNAcentral.
GCACAGAUCGUCUGACUUGCCAAACUGUUCAGCCUUCUCAAGUAAUAUACUGAGCAAAUGCCAUUUUAGUCAUGAGAAAGACAAUCCCAGCCAUAGGAUUUAGAUGCCUAACAAUCAUUCCUCGAAGGGUAUUUUGAAAUACAAUGCCUGGGAAUGCUUCAAUCAGUUAGUGGAUAUUAGCUGAUAGAUCCUGUUUGAUCAAUCAGUGUACCAACUUGCUCUCCACAUAAAGCUUUUGA